UGGCAAUGAUGAUAAAUUAAAGGCUUGUUGCUCACAACAUUCGCAGUUGCUGCCUAAGAGGUUUCGCCCUGCCAGGCUGGAGAGCUAGUGUUGCUAAUUCCUUCCUGGACGUCUGAGCCU
Triticum aestivum (bread wheat) is the source of this 120-nucleotide non-coding RNA. The record is from Rfam. NCBI's taxonomy places the organism in Eukaryota, Viridiplantae, Streptophyta, Magnoliopsida, Poales, Poaceae.